GCCUCCAUAGUUAAAUGGAUAUAACGGUCCCCUCCUAAGGGACAAUUAUAGGUUCGAUUCCUAUUGGGGGUACCA
RNAcentral lists this transfer RNA (75 nucleotides) under Ruminococcaceae bacterium OttesenSCG-928-D13. RNAcentral describes it as "tRNA-Arg". It matches the Rfam family "tRNA". Rfam says of the family: Transfer RNA (tRNA) molecules are approximately 80 nucleotides in length. Their secondary structure includes four short double-helical elements and three loops (D, anti-codon, and T loops). The record is from RNAcentral. Lineage: Bacteria; Bacillati; Bacillota; Clostridia; Eubacteriales; Oscillospiraceae.